CGUAGGGGGCAAGCGUUGUCCGGAAUCAUUGGGCGUAAAGAGCGUGUAGGCGGCUCGAUAAGUCCGCUGUGAAAGUCCAGGGCUCAACCCUGGAAGGCCGGUGGAAACUGUCGGGCUAGAGUCCGGAAGAGGCGAGUGGAAUUCCCGGUGUAGCGGUGAAAUGCGCAGAUAUCGGGAGGAACACCAAUGGCGAAGGCAGCUCGCUGGGACGGUACUGACGCUGAGACGCGAAAGCGUGGGGAGCAAACAGG
Molecule: ribosomal RNA, 251 nt
Filed under: uncultured bacterium
Lineage: Bacteria
Description: partial 16S ribosomal RNA
Rfam family: Bacterial small subunit ribosomal RNA
Source: RNAcentral